UGUCAUUGGCCUGCCUGUAACUGGGCUUGAUGCCCAAGAAGACUGUCCAGGUCGGUGGUCCAGAAACUCCAGGCAGGCAAGGAUUUGAGCACAUGCUGGAAAGCAGAUGGGCAGUGAAGCUGGGACAGGUAGUCCGAAAGCAGUUCAUUCUUCCCCCAAGGGAUGAACUGUUCACACUGAGAAGCCAGGCCAGUGCAUGAUGUGAAAGAUUCUCUUGCUCAGAGCCUGGAGAGCAACUGUCAGUCUGCAUAGAACCGGGACAGGGAACCCUUUUCUGGCUGAGGGCCACAUCCCCUUAUGGGCAACUUUCUGGGGGGCAUGUGCCAGUGGUGGGUGGGACCAGAGGCAAAAGUGGGUGGAGCAACAAAUGCAAAUUUUAGUUUUGAAGAGUAGGUCAGCUUCUGCACACAUGCUUCUGUUUCCUCUAUCCAGGUAAGCAAGAGGCAUGAUCAGAGCACACAUUCCAGCCAAGCAAAGAAAACCAUAGCUGUGCCCUGAGGAGAAGUGUCUAGGGAGAGCCCCAAGGCCAGAUAGAGAAGCCCUGAGGGCCACAUUAAACCCCUGGGCCUGAGGUUCCAAACGCCUAGUGUUUGAAAUUUGCCAGGCACCAGGCACAUUUUGUAACUGGCUAUUGGUCACUUGUGACCAUGUGAAGAUGUCAGAGCGCCAGGAUGACGCCUGAUAUCUCCAUCAUCAUCAUCAUUUUUAAUUUGUAUACCAUCUUUUUAUCUUACAAUACUCAAAGCGG
This 748-nucleotide long non-coding RNA is filed under the name Podarcis lilfordi (Lilford's wall lizard). Lineage: Eukaryota; Metazoa; Chordata; Lepidosauria; Squamata; Lacertidae. The record is from RNAcentral.